UAGCAGAAUUUGGUGUUGCCUGUGGUC
Molecule: non-coding RNA, 27 nt
Filed under: Mus musculus (house mouse)
Lineage: Eukaryota; Metazoa; Chordata; Mammalia; Rodentia; Muridae
Source: RNAcentral